AGCAGCCGCGGUAAUUCCAGCUCCAAUAGCGUAUAUUAAAGUUGUUGCAGUUAAAAAGCUCGUAGUUGAAUUUCGGGGUCAGUAGGUUGGUCGUGCCACCGGUACGUACUGGUCUCACUGAUUCCUCCUUCCUGAUGAGCUGUAAUGCCAUUAAUUUGGUGUUGCAGGGAAUCUGGACUGUUACUUUGAAAAAUUAGAGUGUUUAAAGCAGGCUAACGCUUGAAUACAUUAGCAUGGAAUAAUGAAAUAGGACGUUCGAUCCUAUUUUGUUGGUUUCUAGGAUUGACGUAAUGAUUAAUAGGGAUAGUUGGGGGCAUUAGUAUUCAAUUGUCAGAGGUGAAAUUCUUGGAUUUAUUGAAAACUAACUACCGCGAAAGCAUUUGCCAAGGAUGUUUUCAUUAAUCAAGAACGAAAGUUAGGGGAUCGAAGACGAUCAGAUACCGUCGUAGUCUUAACCAUAAACUAUGCCGACUAGGGAUCGGAUGAUGUUAAUUUUUAAUGUACUCAUUCGGCGCCUUAA
RNAcentral lists this ribosomal RNA (520 nucleotides) under uncultured Glomus. RNAcentral describes it as "SSU rRNA". It matches the Rfam family "Eukaryotic small subunit ribosomal RNA", at positions 569 to 1091 of the family's 1831-position model. Lineage: Eukaryota; Fungi; Glomeromycota; Glomeromycetes; Glomerales; Glomeraceae. The record is from RNAcentral.